GAUGAACGCUGGCGGCGUGCCUAAUACAUGCAAGUCGAGCGAACGGACGAGAAGCUUGCUUCUCUGAUGUUAGCGGCGGACGGGUGAGUAACACGUGUAUAACCUACCUAUAAGACUGAGAUAACUUCGGGAAACCGGAGCUAAUACCGGAUAAUAUUUUGAACCGCGUGGUUCAAAAGUGAAAGACGGUCUUGCUGUCACUUAUAGAUGGAUCCGCGCUGCAUGAGAUAGUUGGUAAGGUAACGGCUUACCAAGGCAACGAUGCAUAGCCGACCGGAGAGGGGGAUAGCCCACCUUGGAAGUGAGACACGGACCAGACUCCUACGGGACGCAGCAGUAGGGAAUCUUACGCAAUGGGCGAAAGCCUGACGGAGCAACGGGGCGUGAGUGAUGAAGGUCUUCGGAGCGGAAUACUCUGUUAUUAGUGAAGAACAGAUGUGUAAGGAACUGUGCACAGCUUGACGGUACCUAAUCAGAAAGCCACGGCUAACUACGUG
RNAcentral lists this ribosomal RNA (497 nucleotides) under uncultured bacterium. RNAcentral's name for it is "partial 16S ribosomal RNA". It matches the Rfam family "Bacterial small subunit ribosomal RNA", at positions 28 to 507 of the family's 1533-position model. The record is from RNAcentral.